UAAGGAAUAUUGCUCAAUGGGAGAAAUCCUGAAGCAGCAACACCGCGUGGAGGAUGAAGGGUCUAUGACUUGUAAACUCCUGUAAAGAAGGAAAAAAUUCCCAUUAGAUGGGAGAUGAUGGUACUUCUGGAGUAAGCCCCGGCUAACUACGUGCCAGCAGCCGCGGUAAUACGUAGGGGGCAAGCGUUGUCCGGAUUUACUGGGUGUAAAGGGUGCUCAGGCGGAUUUGUAAGUCAGAGGUGAAAUCUUACAGCUUAACUGUGAAACUGCCUUUGAUACUGCAAGCCUAGAGUAUGGAAGAGAGUGAUGGAAUAUCUGGUGUAGCAGUGAAAUGCGUAGAUAUCAGAUAGAACACCAAUGGCGAAGGCAGUCACUUGGUCCAUUACUGACGCUAAAGCAC
This 400-nucleotide ribosomal RNA is filed under the name uncultured bacterium. RNAcentral describes it as "bacterial SSU rRNA". It matches the Rfam family "Bacterial small subunit ribosomal RNA", at positions 355 to 754 of the family's 1533-position model. The record is from RNAcentral.